Molecule: long non-coding RNA, 543 nt
Filed under: Mytilus galloprovincialis (Mediterranean mussel)
Lineage: Eukaryota; Metazoa; Mollusca; Bivalvia; Mytilida; Mytilidae
Source: RNAcentral
CAAAUGAGUUAUAAAAAUUAUCUUCAUAAAUAUGAAUAUUCCAGGAAAAAUAGAAAAAGAACACUAUGAGUAAAUACAAUAAAAUGCGGUUUAGCCAAAAUGAUUACGAUUAUAGAAACUAACUUGUUUGGUAUUUACAAACUUACGAGGUCAUACUAAUGAGUACAAAUAUUACUGUUAUACCACUGUUUGAGGUUACGGGGAGGGUUGGGAUCCAGCUAACAUGUUUAACCCCCGCCACAUUAUUUAUGUAUGUGCCUGUCCCAAGUCAGGAGCCUGUAAUUCAGUGGUUGUCGUUUGUUUAUGUGUUACAUAUUUGUUUUUCGUUCAUUUCUUUUUUUUUUAUAUAGAUAAGGUCGUUAGUUUUCUCGUUUGAAUUGUUUUACAUUGCCUUAUCGGGGACUUUUAUAGCUGACUAUGCGGUAUGGGCUUUGCUCAUUGUUGAAGGCCGUACGGUGACCUAUAGUUGUUAAUGUCUGUGUCAUUUUGGUCUAUUGUGGACAGUUGUCUCAUUGGCAAUCAUAGCACAUCUUCUUUUUUAUA